AGUGAACGCUGGCGGCAGGCCUAACACAUGCAAGUCGAGCGGCAGCGCGGGGGCAACCCUGGCGGCGAGCGGCGGACGGGUGAGGAAUUCGUCGGAAUCUGCCUUUUUGGGGGGGAUAACGUAGGGAAACUUACGCUAAUACCGCAUACGUCCUACGGGAGAAAGUGGGGGACCGCAAGGCCUCACGCAGAAAGAUGAGCCGACGACCGAUUAGCUAGUUGGUGGGGUAAAGGCCCACCAAGGCGACGAUCGGUAGCUGGUCUGAGAGGAUGAUCAGCCACACUGGGACUGAGACACGGCCCAGACUCCUACGGGAGGCAGCAGUGGGGAAUAUUGGACAAUGGGCGCAAGCCUGAUCCAGCCAUGCCGCGUGUGUGAAGAAGGCCUUCGGGUUGUAAAGCACUUUUGUCCGGAAAGAAAUCCCUGGAGCUAAUACCUUCGGGGGAUGACGGUACCGGAAGAAUAAGCACCGGCUAACUUCGUG
Molecule: ribosomal RNA, 484 nt
Filed under: uncultured bacterium
Lineage: Bacteria
Description: partial 16S ribosomal RNA
Rfam family: Bacterial small subunit ribosomal RNA
Source: RNAcentral